AUGCAACUAACCUGUGAUUUCCUCCUCGCAGCUUACACCCGUGAACAGUCAACUGUACCACACAUUAGGACACCUGUGACCACACACAAGACCAGCACAGCCACCUCCAUCAGCAGCACCUCCAAGACCUCUGUCUCCACAGGGCCCAGCCCAGCAAGCAGCACAGGAGCCCCUCUGGAAACAACCUCUGCCCAUGCCAGCUCUCCACCUGCCCCCAGCAGCCCGCUCAGCACAAGGCUGCCAUCCACUGCCACCACUUCCACUGGCUCCUCCACAGCAGCUGCCAGCACCAGCCCCAGGCCUACACCUACAACCCUGAGGCCCAGGCCCUCUUCCCCAGCAACCCAAGCUGCAAAGGAGUCUCCUGUAACAGAGUCCUCUGCACCCACCACAGCUAAAACCAGCACGCUGCCACAACCUGCUUCUUCUCCCUCCUCAACUGUGUCCUCAACAUGGCUCAGCUCCUCACAGCCUGUAUCCACCCACAAAGUGCCACAUGCUGAGACAGCUGUAACCACAGAGAAGACCACGGCCACCACCUCCAUCAGCAGCACCUCCAAGACCUCUGUCUCCACAGGGCCCAGCCCAGCAAGCAGCACAGGAGCCCCUCUGGAAACAACCUCUGCCCAUGCCAGCUCUCCACCUGCCCCCAGCAGCCCGCUCAGCACAAGGCUGCCAUCCACUGCCACCACUUCCACUGGCUCCUCCACAGCAGCUGCCAGCACCAGCCCCAGGCCUACACCUACAACCCUGAGGCCCAGGCCCUCUUCCCCAGCAACCCAAGCUGCAAAGGAGUCUCCUGUAACAGAGUCCUCUGCACCCACCACAGCCAAAACCAGCACUCUGCCACAACCUGCUUCUUCUCCCUCCUCAACUGUGUCCUCAACAUGGCUCAGCUCCUCACAGCCUGCCUUCACCCAUGAAGAGUCAGCUGUGCCACACACUGGGACACCUGUGACCACACACAAGACCAGCACAGCCACCUCCAUCAGCAGCACCUCCAAGACCUCUGUCUCCACAGGGCCCAGCCCAGCAAGCAGCACAGGAGCCCCUCUGGAAACAACCUCUGCCCAUGCCAGCUCUCCACCUGCCCCCAGCAGCCCGCUCAGCACAAGGCUGCCAUCCACUGCCACCACUUCCACUGGCUCCUCCACAGCAGCUGCCAGCACCAGCCCCAGGCCUACACCUACAACCCUGAGGCCCAGGCCCUCUUCCCCAGCAACCCAAGCUGCAAAGGAGUCUCCUGUAACAGAGUCCUCUGCAUCCACCACAGCCAAAACCAGCACGCUGCCACAACCUGCUUCUUCUCCCUCCUCAACUGUGUCCUCAACAUGGCUCAGCUCCUCACAGCCUGUAUCCACCCACAAAGUGCCACAUGCUGAGACAGCUGUAACCACAGAGAAGACCACGGCCACCACCUCCAUCAGCAGCACCUCCAAGACCUCUGUCUCCACAGGGCCCAGCCCAGCAAGCAGCACAGGAGCCCCUCUGGAAACAACCUCUGCCCAUGCCAGCUCUCCACCUGCCCCCAGCAGCCCGCUCAGCACAAGGCUGCCAUCCACUGCCACCACUUCCACUGGCUCCUCCACAGCAGCUGCCAGCACCAGCCCCAGGCCUACACCUACAACCCUGAGGCCCAGGCCCUCUUCCCCAGCAACCCAAGCUGCAAAGGAGUCUCCUGUAACAGAGUCCUCUGCAUCCACCACAGCCAAAACCAGCACGCUGCCACAACCUGCUUCUUCUCCCUCCUCAACUGUGUCCUCAACAUGGCUCAGCUCCUCACAGCCUGGUAAGGCUCCCUCCCAAUUUUUCUGUUCUGCCCAGCUCCUCCUGUCUUCCUUCCCUCCCACCAUCAUUCCCUCCAUGAACCGUGCAGUACUUGUGGAUCUUUGCUUGCCCCACCAUUCCCAUUGCCUUUACUUGGCCCCGUUCCCCAGUGUAUUCCUGUGCCUGUGCACUGCCUCUGCUUCAGAUGGAGCUGAUUAUUGUUCCCUGCAGGUUUCCUAGUGCUGUUUCAGAUGUGAGUGCCAGCCACUGGUGAUGACACACGAGUGCUUUGGUGAUCUCUCUGGAGUGCCAGCUCAGCUCCUCAGCCUCCUCUGUUUGUGCAUCGGGCAGCCAGCGAGUGGGCAUGGGGUGGCCAUGGGUCCAUCAGGGACACAGCCAGCAUAGCUGGCCCUAAGCCAGUGGCCAAGGAGACACUGCCUGACACAGAGCAUCAUGCUGAUCUGUGCAGUG
This 2238-nucleotide long non-coding RNA is filed under the name Ficedula albicollis (Collared flycatcher). RNAcentral's name for it is "lncRNA (ENSFALG00000023204.1)". Lineage: Eukaryota; Metazoa; Chordata; Aves; Passeriformes; Muscicapidae. The record is from RNAcentral.